Molecule: ribosomal RNA, 2202 nt
Filed under: Triticum aestivum (bread wheat)
Lineage: Eukaryota; Viridiplantae; Streptophyta; Magnoliopsida; Poales; Poaceae
Description: partial small subunit ribosomal RNA
Source: RNAcentral
AUGGCCGGUGCGCGCGCUGGCGGGUCGUUCCUCGCCGUCACCCUCAUGGUGGUGGUGGCCGCAUCAUCCAUGCCGGUGGUCAAGGGGGAUGACAAGUCUGCUUGCGUCGGCGAGUACUCCAAGCUUUGCGGCUACAAGGACCCCGCGUGCACUACCAUGGUCGAGACGACCUGCCACGAUGAUGCCGACAGCGUCAAGGCCAUCAAGGGCAUGUUCGACGAGCUGGCCAAGGUCGGUGGAGACAACUAUGAUUAUGCUUCUACGGCAAUGUCGUGGGGGCACGUGGCCCUCGGCCAUGCCGUCGACGAGCAUGGGGCCUGCCCCGGCAACAAGACGGUCGGAGAUUUUGCCGGUGAGCACUGCAUCCCGGACCUUGACGCGGCAUGCAAGGAUCCCAGCUGCAGCGACGGAGCUUACAUCGAAUGCGGCGGUGCGGCGUCGAGAUUCUGCUACAUCAAGGCCAUCCCCGCCGACAAGAAAGCCAUACAGCAAAACUUGAAAUGCUUCAAGGAGUGUUUAGCGCAGAAGAAGAAAAGUGAAGACUGCAUCCUCCACAACAAUGAAAAGUUCAUCGCCGCCAGUAGAUCAUCUGCGCCACUCGACUUCGAUAAGCGACAACGUUGUCGGGCGACGGUUUUCUUGAACCUGGGGGUGUUCAACGGGCACAAUGACUUGUAUUCGCUUCGGCGCUUGGACCUCUCCAAGGUCGACUUGUUCUACCAGACACCUAAAGAAGCGGCCGCGCACACCAAGGUGGUGCUGAUGCUCACGCCCGCCAAGGCCUCGGCGCGCAACACAAGGAGAACUGCAAGGCUGACUUGGCGAUGCUUCGUCUUGCAGUCCAAGGCGCAAGGUGGAGGUCCAGACCAGGUGGACAUGGAGAAGCUUGUGUCAUCGCUUCCUCUCCAUCUUCUUGCUCUAAGUUUGGAUGUCGGAAGAGGUUCAGAUUUGUCAUAUGUGCUCCGUGGCGUGCGCUUUUUGCAUUCUUUGUCUGAGCUAGCAACUCGCCACACUAAGCUGGAGCAGGUUCUUCUGGAUGACGUGAAGUUAUCUGAACAAGUUAUGGACCUGAUAUUCUAUCUGCUGUCCGUUCUGUCCCACUGGAAGAAGGAAGAUCAUCUCGGCGCUUCUCCCUUCAUACAUUCAUCACUUGUAGCAGGAAGUCUUCAUCUGAUGACGAGUUACUUCUCAUCUCUGUGGCAUGAACUUGUUCAUAAUCUUCUUGCACAUCCAAAGUUGUUACAACUGUGUGAAUCUGAAAGUAUUUCUUACCUCGAUGAAGUCGCCACUUUACCAAAGAGCAUGCAACUAGGGCUGGAGGUUCUUGAUUUGCUGAAGAUCGCAUUUGGAAGGAAACAGAAACCUGCUGCCGGUUCGCAUGAUAAGAGUUACCCCAUGGGUUCUGUGCUUAUCAGUGCAUUGUGCCUCGUUGACGUCUUUUCUGAUGUUUCAAACUUUAGAUCUUCCUUCAUAACUAAUACUAUUCCCUUUCUGACGCAAAUUUUGGCGACUCCUCAUGAUGAGUUUGUCUCGAGUUGGUGCUCUGUAGAUCUGCCAGUGAUGGAAGAUGACACUAAUCUGGAUUAUGAUCCAUUUGGUGCAGCUGACCUGGCACUGUUAGCUGCUUCAAAUGUGCUGACUGAAGCUAAAGUGGCAAAAAGUGAUGUCACAUCAGAAAUGAAGGUAGACUUGCAACCGGUGCAGCAGCCCCAGCCAACAAGGGCUGGUGUUCCAGACCCCAAUAUGGAUAAGGAUGCCCCUCCUAAGGAUGUGCAAAACAUCGAAGAGUCUUUGGCGACACCCCCCAUGAAACAAGAUGGAAAUGCUAGGGAUGAGAUAUUGAGACUCCAAGAAACCGUGCCACUAGGGAACGAAAUCGACAGGGGCGAGAUCUUCCAGGUUGAGGGCAGGGCCCAAGGGAAGAGCCUGGCGGAGAGCCACAUCUGCAUCAUCGACGUCACCGAGCUCAAGGUCGAGAAGUGGAGGGAGAUUCCCCACCCUUCCGAGGCAUCUGGAAGGACAUUCCAGGAGGCAGAGUCGAGGCAUGGUGGCGUGAUGAGGGUGGCCUGGGAUGUUGUCAGGCUCGCCCCAGUAGCGACGUACGUAGGGUGGUUGGUUCUCUUUUGUGGUGUCUGGAAUGUAGAAAGGAGCUGCCGUCGGCCCCGUCUGGCUGGGCAUCGACAAGGUACAAACAGCAAGUAG